RNAcentral lists this ribosomal RNA (466 nucleotides) under uncultured bacterium. RNAcentral's name for it is "partial 16S ribosomal RNA". It matches the Rfam family "Bacterial small subunit ribosomal RNA", at positions 28 to 505 of the family's 1533-position model. The record is from RNAcentral.
GACGAACGCUGGCGGCGUGCUUAACACAUGCAAGUCGAACGGAAAGGCCCUGCUUUUGUGGGGUGCUCGAGUGGCGAACGGGUGAGUAACACGUGAGUAACCUGCCCUUGACUUUGGGAUAACUUCAGGAAACUGGGGCUAAUACCGGAUAGGAGCUCCUGCUGCAUGGUGGGGGUUGGAAAGUUUCGGCGGUUGGGGAUGGACUCGCGGCUUAUCAGCUUGUUGGUGGGGUAGUGGCUUACCAAGGCUUUGACGGGUAGCCGGCCUGAGAGGGUGACCGGCCACAUUGGGACUGAGAUACGGCCCAGACUCCUACGGGAGGCAGCAGUGGGGAAUAUUGCACAAUGGGCGGAAGCCUGAUGCAGCAACGCCGCGUGCGGGAUGACGGCCUUCGGGUUGUAAACCGCUUUCGCCUGUGACGAAGCGUGAGUGACGGUAAUGGGUAAAGAGGCACCGGCGAACUACG